Molecule: ribosomal RNA, 119 nt
Filed under: Helianthus annuus (common sunflower)
Lineage: Eukaryota; Viridiplantae; Streptophyta; Magnoliopsida; Asterales; Asteraceae
Source: RNAcentral
GGUUGCGAUCAUACCAGCACUAAUGCACCGGAUCCCAUCAGAACUCCGCAGUUAAGCGUGCUUGGGCGAGAGUAGUACUAGGAUGGGUGACCCCCUGGUAAGUCCUCGUGUUGCAACCC